UAGGGCUAGACUGGGUUAGACUGGGUUAGGGCUGGACCGGGUUAGACUGGGUUACUGUUAGGGCUAGACUGGGUUAGACUGGGUUACUGUUAGGGCUAGACUGGGUUACUGUUAGGGCUGGACCGGGUUAGACUGGGUUAGACUGGGUUAGACUGGGAUACUGUUAGGGCUGGACUGGGUUAGACUGGGUUACUGUUAGGGCUAGACUGGGUUAGACUGGGUUACUGUUAGGGUUAGACUGGGUUACUGUUAGGGCUGGACUGGGUUAGGCUGGGUUACUGUUAGGGCUGGACUGGGUUAGACUGGGUUACUGUUAGGGCUGGACUGGGUUAGACUGGGUUACUGUUAGGGUUAGACUGGGUUACUGUUAGGGCUGGACUGGGUUACUGUUAGGGCUAAACUGGGUUAGGCUGGGUUACUGUUAGGGCUGGACUGGGUUACUGUUAGGGCUGGACUGGGUAAGGCUGGGUUACUGUUGGGGCUAGACUGGGUUAGACUGGGUUACUGUUAGGGUUAGACUGGGUUACUGUUAGGGCUGGACUGGGUUAGACUGGGUUACUGUUAGGGCUGGACUGGGUUAGGCUGGGUUACUGUUAGGGCUGGACUGGGUUAGACUGGGUUACUGUUAGGGCUGGACUGGGUUAGACUGGGUUACUGUUAGGGUUAGACUGGGUUACUGUUAGGGCUGGACUGGGUUACUGUUAGGGCUAAACUGGGUUAGGCUGGGUUACUGUUAGGGCUGGACUGGGUUAUUGUUAGGGCUGGACUGGGUUAGGCUGGGUUACUGUUGGGGCUGGAUUGGGUUAGGCUGGGUUACUGUUAGGGCUAGACUGGGUUAGACUGGGUUACUGUUAGGGCUGGACUGGGUUAGACUGGGUUACUGUUAGGGCUGGACUGGGUUAGACUGGGUUACUGUUAGGACCGGACUGGGUUACUGUUAGGGCUAGACUGGGUUACUGUUAGGGCUAGACUGGGUUAGACUGGGUUACUGUUGGGGCUGGACUGGAUUAGACUGGGUUACUGUUAGGGUUAGACUGGGUUACUGUUAGGGCUGGACUGGGUUACUGUUAGGGCUGGACUGGGUUAGACUGGGUUACU
This 1098-nucleotide long non-coding RNA is filed under the name Salmo salar (Atlantic salmon). Its description in RNAcentral is "lncRNA (ENSSSAG00000098656.1)". The record is from RNAcentral. Lineage: Eukaryota; Metazoa; Chordata; Actinopteri; Salmoniformes; Salmonidae.